UCCCUGGUGGUCCAGUGGUUAGGACUCUGCACUUCUAAUGCAGGAGCCAUGGGUUCAAUCCCUGGUUGGGGAA
This is a non-coding RNA of Physeter macrocephalus (sperm whale), 73 nucleotides long. Lineage: Eukaryota; Metazoa; Chordata; Mammalia; Artiodactyla; Physeteridae. The record is from the annotation of a RefSeq genome assembly.